Molecule: ribosomal RNA, 1164 nt
Filed under: uncultured Nitrosomonas sp.
Lineage: Bacteria; Pseudomonadati; Pseudomonadota; Betaproteobacteria; Nitrosomonadales; Nitrosomonadaceae
Description: bacterial SSU rRNA
Rfam family: Bacterial small subunit ribosomal RNA
Source: RNAcentral
ACUCCUACGGGAGGCAGCAGUGGGGAAUUUUGGACAAUGGGCGCAAGCCUGAUCCAGCAAUGCCGCGUGAGUGAAGAAGGCCUUCGGGUUGUAAAGCUCUUUCAGUUGAGAAGAAAAAAUUGUGACUAAUAAUCACAAUUGAUGACGGUAUCAACAGAAGAAGCACCGGCUAACUACGUGCCAGCAGCCGCGGUAAUACGUAGGGUGCGAGCGUUAAUCGGAAUUACUGGGCGUAAAGGGUGCGCAGGCGGUUUUGUAAGUCAGAUGUGAAAUCCCCGGGCUUAACCUGGGAAUUGCGUUUGAAACUACAAAACUAGAGUGUAGCAGAGGGAGGUGGAAUUCCAUGUGUAGCAGUGAAAUGCGUAGAGAUAUGGAAGAACAUCGAUGGCGAAGGCAGCCUCCUGGGUUAACACUGACGCUCAUGCACGAAAGCGUGGGGAGCAAACAGGAUUAGAUACCCUGGUAGUCCACGCCCUAAACUAUGUCAACUAGUUGUUGGGUCUUAAUAGGCUUGGUAACGUAGCUAACGCGUGAAGUUGACCGCCUGGGGAGUACGGUCGCAAGAUUAAAACUCAAAGGAAUUGACGGGGACCCGCACAAGCGGUGGAUUAUGUGGAUUAAUUCGAUGCAACGCGAAAAACCUUACCUACCCUUGACAUGUUAGAAAGAUUUCAGAGAUGAAAUCGUGUCCGAAAGGAAAUCUAAACACAGGUGCUGCAUGGCUGCCGUCAGCUCGUGUCGUGAGAUGUUGGGUUAAGUCCCGCAACGAGCGCAACCCUUGUCAUUAAUUGCCAUCAUUUAGUUGGGCACUUUAAUGAGACUGCCGGUGACAAACCGGAGGAAGGUGGGGAUGACGUCAAGUCCUCAUGGCCCUUAUGGGUAGGGCUUCACACGUAAUACAAUGGCGCGUACAGAGGGUUGCCAACCCGCGAGGGGGAGCUAAUCUCAGAAAGCGCGUCGUAGUCCGGAUCGGAGUCUGCAACUCGACUCCGUGAAGUCGGAAUCGCUAGUAAUCGCGGAUCAGCAUGUCGCGGUGAAUACGUUCCCGGGUCUUGUACACACCGCCCGUCACACCAUGGGAGUGGGUUUCACCAGAAGCAGGUAGUCUAACCGUAAGGAGGGCGCUUGCCACGGUGAGGUUCAUGACUGGGGUGAAGUCGUAAC